GUAACAUUGGUGCUUGCACCAGAUGACGAGUGGCGCACGGGUGCGUAACGCGUAUGCAACCUACCUUUUACUAGAGUAUAGCCCAGAGAAAUUUGGAUUAAUCCCCUAUAAUAUCUUUCAAUUUCAUGAUUAAUUGAUUAAAGUUUUAACGGUAAAAGAUGGGCAUGCGUCCUAUUAGUUUGUAGGUGAGGUAACGGCUCACCUAGACUACGAUAGGUAGGGGCCCUGAGAGGGGGAUCCCCCACACUGGUACUGAGACACGGACCAGACUCCUACGGGAGGCAGCAGUAAGGAAUAUUGGACAAUGGACGAAAGUCUGAUCCAGCCAUGCCGCGUGCAGGAUGAAAGCCCUAUGGGUUGUAAACUGCUUUUAUACAGGAAGAAACACUCCGACUUGUCGGAGCUUGACGGUACUGUAAGAAUAAGGAUCGGCUAACUCCGUGCCAGCAGCCGCGGUAAUACGGAGGAUCCAAGCGUUAUCCGGAAUCAUUGGGUUUAAAGGGUCCGCAGGCGGUCUUUUAAGUCAGAGGUGAAAGCCUACAGCUCAACUGUAGAACGGCCUUUGAUACUGAAAGACUUGAGUUAUUGUGAAGUGGUUAGAAUGUGUGGUGUAGCGGUGAAAUGCAUAGAUAUCACACAGAAUACCGAUUGCGAAGGCAGAUCACUAACAAUAUACUGACGCUCAUGGACGAAAGCGUGGGGAGCGAACAGGAUUAGAUACCCUGGUAGUCCACGCCGUANACGAUGGAUACUAGCUGUUCGUCUAACAUUGGUUAGAUGAGUGGCUAAGCGAAAGUGAUAAGUAUCCCACCUGGGGAGU
Molecule: ribosomal RNA, 820 nt
Filed under: uncultured marine bacterium
Lineage: Bacteria
Description: bacterial SSU rRNA
Rfam family: Bacterial small subunit ribosomal RNA
Source: RNAcentral